RNAcentral lists this transfer RNA (75 nucleotides) under Fischerella thermalis CCMEE 5330. RNAcentral's name for it is "tRNA-Met". It matches the Rfam family "tRNA". Rfam says of the family: Transfer RNA (tRNA) molecules are approximately 80 nucleotides in length. Their secondary structure includes four short double-helical elements and three loops (D, anti-codon, and T loops). Lineage: Bacteria; Bacillati; Cyanobacteriota; Cyanophyceae; Nostocales; Hapalosiphonaceae. The record is from RNAcentral.
CGCGGAGUAGAGCAGUGGUAGCUCGUCGGGCUCAUAACCCGGAGGCCGAUGGUUCGAGUCCAUCCUCCGCAACUA